AGAGAGAGAGAGAGAGAGACAGAGUGACUCCCAAAAGAAAUGCUAUCUUCCUUUGACAAAUCUUGCUUCCUGAAGCACCCAUCAAUUGAAAAAUCCAGCAAAUCAAAGUCAUCUAAAAUUUUCAGUUAAAAAUGCAUCUCAACUGGUUGUAUAGUUGCACCAAUAAUGAACACAUGUUAGAGAUUUGAGCAUGUGCAUGUGCAUGAAAGCACAACUACAAUACGCGCAGAGGUAUGUGUGCGUGGAUGUAUAUGCAUGAACAUUCAUGUGGAAGCACAUGUAUAGAGUACAUGUAUUUAUAUGAAAUGGCCAUCCCCAAGGUUGCAUUUGGAUGGGAAAGCAUUUAAAAAGAAUGGAUUUGGACAAGUUAUUUUAGUUUCAAUAUAUGAUAUUCUUUGGUACAGGGCAUUGGAGAUUAUAUUCAUGACUAUCGAUUAUAACUUGUUCAAGUAUGAAUGGAACAGCUAAACAGAUGUAACUUCAAAUAGACAUUCUAAGAUUUGGUUUAAGCAUUUUUCCCCUCCCCUUACAAACUUAAAUUUUAAAUUAGAUAAUUUCAACUCAAAUAAAUCCUUGAGUUUUUAAGUCCACAAACCAAACUCACCCCGAGGGAAAUUUGAGGAAGAUGUCUCUCGGACUCCCACAAGGUAAGAAUUCUAGAUUUAAAGGUAAUUAAUACAAUAGCCCUAUAACAAUAAGCCACCAAUGAGCACAAGUUUAUGGAGAAAUGGUAAUCAAGCAAUAAAGGAAUAAAUUGCUUCAUAUGAUUAACUUAAUCUAACAAAAUCCACAAAGCAUUGUACUUUCAAUAUUCCUAACAGCUAAAGAGAAAAGCACAAUUGCAGAAAGCACUCACCAAUAGUGGGAAUAGUGGUGACGAUCUCACCCAACUUGAGCUUGUAGAGGAUUGUAGUCUUACCAGCUGCAUCAAGACCCACCAUCAGAAUU
This 948-nucleotide unclassified non-coding RNA is filed under the name Hevea brasiliensis (rubber tree). Lineage: Eukaryota; Viridiplantae; Streptophyta; Magnoliopsida; Malpighiales; Euphorbiaceae. The record is from RNAcentral.